This 1161-nucleotide long non-coding RNA is filed under the name Sarcophilus harrisii (Tasmanian devil). RNAcentral describes it as "lncRNA (ENSSHAG00000025784.1)". Lineage: Eukaryota; Metazoa; Chordata; Mammalia; Dasyuromorphia; Dasyuridae. The record is from RNAcentral.
UUCUGCCCUUAUCCCCUCCUCUCUUCUCCCUCCUCUCUCUCUGUUUCUCUGUCUCUUUGUUUCUGUGCAUCUCUCUGUCUCUGUCUCUCUCUGUUUCUACCCUGUGUCUCUGACUGUCUCUAUCUCUACUUCUGUCUCUCUGUCUCUGUCUCUCUCUCUGUCUCUGUCUCUGCUUCUGUCUCUCUGACUGUCUCUGUCUCUGUCUCUCUGACUCUCUCUGUCUCUGUCUCUCUCCUCACUAGCCUUAUUGUGCAAGGCCCUAAAAGUGAGACAGAGUUUAGAUUUCUUCUUCAGGCUGGAGGCAGAGCCCCCCCUUCCUCCUUGGCAGUUCCUUCCAUCCAUAACACACGUCCCAGUGUUUCCCUUGAGCUCCAGUCCUGCAUCACCAAUUUCCUCUUCAACGUUUCAAACCGAACGUCUCAGAGACAAAGUCAGCAUUUCCAGAAGAAAACUCCUGCCUCCCACGCUCCCCAACCCUCCCUUCGUCUAAAUCUCCUCGUUUCUACCGAAGACUCCCCAGUCUUUCUCCCGGCGCCUCAGUGUGUGAGCUCGCUUUAUUCCAGACUCUCCCCCAUCUCCCUCCGCGUACUCCAUCAGGUGCCAUUUCCACCUCCAGAGCAUCUCUCCAUCAGCCCCUUGUCCCCGCUCCAGUGGCAGCAGCUUCCCUUGUCCCCUUAUUCCUCCUCCCCUAAAUGGCCGCAGCAGUUCCCAUGUGGUCUCCUUGCUGCAAGGCUCUCACCUCCCCACCCAUCUUCCCCCUGCUGCCAAAGGACACGUCGGACCAAAUCACCUCAGCCUCUCCUCACUCCAUCGACUCUGGCUCGGAGAAGAAAGCAUAAAUUCCCGUUUACCCAACCUGGCCCUGGAGAGACUACCUGCCCGACCACGCUCAUCAGGACCUGGCGGUGCUCCCCUCUGGUCCUCCCAAGUGACCGUCCGUCUCCAGUCCCGGGACUGGACACCAGACAUCGUCUCCAGAUGGGAAGUCCUUUUCCUUUAAUACAGCUCAGGUGCCAUCUUUUCCAUGGAAGCCCACCUGAUCCUGCUCUCCCUCCAAACUGUCGUCUUUUUAACUACUUUGCCUUUACUAGUAUUAGUUCACUCUACAUUUCUGCUAUAUAUGUAUAUGUUAUAUUAUUCUGCUAUAUAUUAAAUAUAUAG